UACAGAGGUCUCAAGCGUUGUUCGGAUUCAUUGGGCGUAAAGGGUGCGUAGGUGGCGCGCUAAGUCAGGUGUGAAAUCUCGGGGCUCAACUCCGAAACUGCAUUUGAUACUGGCGUGCUUGAGGACUGGAGAGGAGACUGGAAUUUACGGUGUAGCAGUGAAAUGCGUAGAUAUCGUAAGGAAGACCAGUGGCGAAGGCGGGUCUCUGGACAGUUCCUGACACUGAGGCACGAAGGCCAGGGGAGCAAACGGG
Molecule: ribosomal RNA, 253 nt
Filed under: uncultured bacterium
Lineage: Bacteria
Description: partial 16S ribosomal RNA
Rfam family: Bacterial small subunit ribosomal RNA
Source: RNAcentral